AAAGUGCUUCUCUUUGCUGGG
This 21-nucleotide microRNA is filed under the name Macaca mulatta (Rhesus monkey). RNAcentral's name for it is "mml-miR-518a-3p". Its record names the gene mml-miR-518a-3p. The record is from miRBase by way of RNAcentral. Lineage: Eukaryota; Metazoa; Chordata; Mammalia; Primates; Cercopithecidae.